RNAcentral lists this ribosomal RNA (465 nucleotides) under uncultured Klebsiella sp. RNAcentral's name for it is "bacterial SSU rRNA". It matches the Rfam family "Bacterial small subunit ribosomal RNA", at positions 338 to 795 of the family's 1533-position model. The record is from RNAcentral. Lineage: Bacteria; Pseudomonadati; Pseudomonadota; Gammaproteobacteria; Enterobacterales; Enterobacteriaceae.
CCUACGGGUGGCAGCAGUGGGGAAUAUUGCACAAUGGGCGCAAGCCUGAUGCAGCCAUGCCGCGUGUGUGAAGAAGGCCUUCGGGUUGUAAAGCACUUUCAGCGGGGAGGAAGGCGGUGAGGUUAAUAACCUCAUCGAUUGACGUUACCCGCAGAAGAAGCACCGGCUAACUCCGUGCCAGCAGCCGCGGUAAUACGGAGGGUGCAAGCGUUAAUCGGAAUUACUGGGCGUAAAGCGCACGCAGGCGGUCUGUCAAGUCGGAUGUGAAAUCCCCGGGCUCAACCUGGGAACUGCAUUCGAAACUGGCAGGCUAGAGUCUUGUAGAGGGGGGUAGAAUUCCAGGUGUAGCGGUGAAAUGCGUAGAGAUCUGGAGGAAUACCGGUGGCGAAGGCGGCCCCCUGGACAAAGACUGACGCUCAGGUGCGAAAGCGUGGGGAGCAAACAGGAUUAAAUACCCCGGUAGUC